UACGUAGGUGGCAAGCGUUGUCCGGAUUUACUGGGCGUAAAGAGCGCGCAGGCGGUCGUUCAAGUCGCGUGUGAAAGCCCCCGGCUCAACUGGGGAGGGUCACGCGAUACUGAUCGACUCGAAGGCAGGAGAAGGUAGUGGAAUUCCCGGUGUAGUGGUGAAAUGCGUAGAUAUCGGGAGGAACACCAGUGGCGAAGGCGACUACCUGGCCUGUUCUUGACGCUGAGGCGCGAAAGCUAGGGUAGCAAACGGG
Molecule: ribosomal RNA, 253 nt
Filed under: uncultured bacterium
Lineage: Bacteria
Description: partial 16S ribosomal RNA
Rfam family: Bacterial small subunit ribosomal RNA
Source: RNAcentral